Molecule: small RNA, 268 nt
Filed under: Pan troglodytes (chimpanzee)
Lineage: Eukaryota; Metazoa; Chordata; Mammalia; Primates; Hominidae
Also listed under: 1 other name
Description: processed transcript
Source: RNAcentral
AUCCUGCUCCUGCUGCUCAUCAUUGCCCUCAUGCUCUGGCGGCUGCACUGGCGCAGGCUCCUCAGCAAGGCUGAACGGAGGGUGUUGGAAGAGGAGCUGACGGUUCACCUCUCUGUCCCUGGGGACACUAUCCUCAUCAACAACCGCCCAGGUCCUAGAGAGCCACCCCCGUACCAGGAGCCCCGGCCUCGUGGGAAUCCGCCCCACUCCGCUCCCUGUGUCCCCAAUGGCUCUGGUGCACCUGUGUGAGGUCGACAGCCCUCAAGAU